Molecule: ribosomal RNA, 478 nt
Filed under: uncultured bacterium
Lineage: Bacteria
Description: partial 16S ribosomal RNA
Rfam family: Bacterial small subunit ribosomal RNA
Source: RNAcentral
GACGAACGCUGGCGGCGUGCUUAACACAUGCAAGUCGAACGGUAAGGCCCUUCGGGGUACACGAGUGGCGAACGGGUGAGUAACACGUGGGUGAUCUGCCCUGCACUUCGGGAUAAGCCUGGGAAACUGGGUCUAAUACCGGAUAGGACCACUGCCUGCAUGGGUGGUGGUGGAAAGCUUUUGCGGUGUGGGAUGGGCCCGCGGCCUAUCAGCUUGUUGGUGGGGUGAUGGCCUACCAAGGCGACGACGGGUAGCCGGCCUGAGAGGGUGACCGGCCACACGGGGACUGGGAUACGGCCCAGACUCCUACGGGAGGCAGCAGUAGGGAAUAUUGCACAAUGGGCGCAAGCCUGAUGCAGCGACGCCGCGUGAGGGAUGACGGCCUUCGGGUUGUAAACCUCUUUCAGCACCGACGAAGCGCAAGUGACGGUAGGUGCAGAAGAAGGACCGGCCAACUACGUGCCAGCCGCCGCAGUAA